Molecule: ribosomal RNA, 1124 nt
Filed under: Rhynchostegiopsis flexuosa
Lineage: Eukaryota; Viridiplantae; Streptophyta; Bryopsida; Hookeriales; Leucomiaceae
Description: eukaryotic LSU rRNA
Rfam family: Eukaryotic large subunit ribosomal RNA
Source: RNAcentral
UAAGCAUAUCACUAAKCGGAGGAGAAGAAACUAACCAGGAUUUCCCUAGUANCGGCGAGCGARCCGGAAAGAGCCCAGGCUUGAGAAUCGUGGUGCCUCGCACCUCGAGUUGUAGUCUGRAGAAGGYYCCUCUGCGACGCGCCGGACCCAAGUUCCCUGGAAAGGGACGUCAGAGAGGGUGAGAACCCCGUCGAGUCCGACGCGCGUCGCUCCACGAGAACCUGUCUGCGAGUCGGGCUGUUUGGGAAUGCAGCCCUAAGUGGGUGGUAAAUUCCAUCCAAGGCUAAAUAUUGGCAAGAGACCGAUAGCGAACAAGURCCGCGAGGGAAAGAUGAAAAGGACUUUGAAAAGAGAGUUAAAAAGUGCUUGAAAUUGCUGGGAGGGAAGCGAAUGGAAGCUGCGGGCGCGCCCCGGUUGGAUGUGGAACGGCUGCGGCUGGUCCGCCGCUCAACGCGGGGCGCUGGUCAGCGUGGGCCGUCGCGCCGGGACAAGAGCAGGGAUUCGCUUCCUGCCUAUGCCGGUGCGGUGGCCGAGGAACGAAGCGCGCGCCUUCGCGGCGUGGGGUGCGCCCCAACUGCGCGCUCGGGACGCUGGCGUAUUGAGCUCUUCAUCCGACCCGUCUUGAAACACGGACCAAGGAGUCUAACAUGUAUGCGAGCCGGUGGGCGGCAAACCCAUUGAGGCGCAAGGAACCUGACAGGUGGGACCCCGACCGCGAGGGAGGGAGCACCAUCGACCGACCGUGAUCUUCUGUGAAAGGUUUGAGUGUGAGCAUACCUGUUGGGACCCGAAAGAUGGUGAACUAUGCCUGAGCAGGGCGAAGCCAGAGGAAACUCUGGUGGAGGCUCGUAGCGAUACUGACGUGCAAAUCGUUCGUCAGACUUGGGUAUAGGGGCGAAAGACUAAUCGAACCAUCUAGUAGCUGGUUCCCUCCGAAGUUUCCCUCAGGAUAGCUGGAGCUCGUGUAAAAGUUUUAUCAGGUAAAGCGAAUGAUUAGAGGCAUCGGGGGUGUAACACCCUCGACCUAUUCUCAAACUUUAAAUAGGUAAGCCGCCGGGGUUGCUUGGUUGAACCCCGGCACAGAAUGAGAGCUCCAAGUGGGCCAUUUUUGGUAAGCAGAACUG